Parelaphostrongylus tenuis is the source of this 77-nucleotide non-coding RNA. The record is from the annotation of a GenBank genome assembly. Lineage: Eukaryota; Metazoa; Nematoda; Chromadorea; Rhabditida; Metastrongylidae.
ACGUUGAUAGUACAAAGGCAAGAGCGCGCGCCUCCGGAAAGCGUGAGAUGUACGGGGUUCGAGUCCCGCUUGACGUA